Molecule: long non-coding RNA, 436 nt
Filed under: Capra hircus (goat)
Lineage: Eukaryota; Metazoa; Chordata; Mammalia; Artiodactyla; Bovidae
Description: lncRNA (ENSCHIG00000003975.1)
Source: RNAcentral
UGGAGGCCCACAGGGCCCUGCUGUGUGUAUCAGUCUCAGCAAGCAGUCCGGUGCAUUUGGGAGUCUGGGUUCAGUUCAGUUCAGUCGCUUAGUCGAGUCCGACUCUUGGCAGAAUUCUAACCAGUGGAUGAAGAUCUAUGGCCAGGAGCUGAGCCUAGCAGAAGUAUUGCAGCCCUAAUCAGGAUAACCUGCAAGAAUUAAGAGGUGGCAGAAUCCAUGCUGAGAGUGGUGGUCUCUCUGGGCAGAAGAAGCAGGAAUUAGAGUUUGGGCCUGCUAAAGUGGUUGGAAUUUGUGAGCUGGUUGCCAGAGAGACUGGAGUCAUGGAGAGGAAGCCCCAGAAGGUACCAUGUUGUCAUAAUAAUUCCUAGCAUGUACCAGGCAAUGGAUUUUCACUUUAAUCUAAUUUUUACAAUAAGCUUAUGAACAAGGCUAAUUA